Molecule: ribosomal RNA, 200 nt
Filed under: uncultured bacterium
Lineage: Bacteria
Description: partial 16S ribosomal RNA
Rfam family: Bacterial small subunit ribosomal RNA
Source: RNAcentral
AUUGAACGCUGGCGGCAGGCCUAACACAUGCAAGUCGAGCGCGAAAGUUCUUCGGAAUGAGUAAAGCGGCGGACGGGUGAGUAAUACAUGGGAAUCUGCCUGGUAGUGGGGGGACAACGUUUCGAAAGGAACGCUAAUACCGCAUACGCCCUACGGGGAAAGGGGGGGAGUCUUCGGACCUCUCGCUAUCAGAUGAGCCC